Haliotis rubra (blacklip abalone) is the source of this 336-nucleotide long non-coding RNA. RefSeq lists it as uncharacterized. The record is from RefSeq and is a predicted model, not a curated record. NCBI's taxonomy places the organism in Eukaryota, Metazoa, Mollusca, Gastropoda, Lepetellida, Haliotidae. The transcript has 3 exons.
CGGUGGGAAACGAUACACCGGCCUAUUCGUUCCAGUCGGUUGUAGGCAUUAGACUAGAAGGGCUGAUUUCGUUGUUAGACUUGUCGAGGUCGAGGCCGAUGCUGAGGCGAAGACGGGGAUCGAGACGGAAGCCAAUGCCGGAUAUGGAGGGACAAUCUGCAGUCGGCCGAGUUCCUGUUUAAGCUGCCGGUUCUCCGGAGAUCUGAGUUGCUCUUCAAGCUGCUGAAGCCGGGCUUCUACAAGCUGUCACAACAAAUAAGACGGGUCACCCACUGUAAUUAUCAGUUUGGAUAUCUAUAUUCAAGUGCGUGUUCAUGUAAACGAUUACUGACUUGC